RNAcentral lists this long non-coding RNA (1423 nucleotides) under Helianthus annuus (common sunflower). RNAcentral describes it as "hypothetical non coding rna". The record is from RNAcentral. Lineage: Eukaryota; Viridiplantae; Streptophyta; Magnoliopsida; Asterales; Asteraceae.
UCUCUCUCUUCAUCUCUGAUGAAGAUGAAUCUUCAUCUUCAACAUCUUCAUCUUAAAAUCGUUUUCUUUAGGUCCAAGUCAAGUGGCUAACUAAGUUUGAAGAGUAGAUAACCAUUUUUUAACAGUAGAUUACUACAUGGCUUAAUUAAUAUAUGUGUGGGAGCGAGAAGUGAGAGAGUAAGAGAGAGAGAGGAGUCAGAGAAGACAGUGGAUGGCGGUAGCGCUGCCGCUCACGGCGGCGGCAGUAGAGACACAGGCGGCGGCGGUCCAGGUUGUUCCGACGAGUGUCAAGGUAACCCCCCUCUCGCUUCCUUUUACCGUACUGAAGUCGGAUAAUGAUGGAUCAGGAUGAUGAUGCUGUUUUUUUUUUUAUAUUUGAUUGAUGAUGAUGGAGUCGGUGGUGGCCGACGAUGGCAGCCGGCGAAGCAGCGGCACAGCGGCGACGAUAGUAAAGGUGGAGUCGGUGGUGGUCGACGAUGACGGUAAAGGUGGGGGUACGUCGGAGCUCCGAUCCGGUCGGCGACGGUAAUGUAGGUUCCGGUGACCCAUGUAAAUAUACCGAUCACCUUUAGAAGUGCUUAAGAUGUUUUUGGAUUGUUUUUUGGGUUUUGUUGGUUACAUGAUAUGUUGCUUAAGAUGUUUUUGGAUUUUUUUUGUUGGUUACAUGAUAUGGUAGGUCUUUGUUGUUUCCAUUGGGUUUUGUAAAACGUAAAAAUUUUAACGUAAAAUGUAAAAACGAUCCGUGAGGCUGAUGUCGACGGUGAUGGUCAGAUCAACUACGAGGAAUUCGUGAAGGUCAUGAUGGCGAUGUGAGAACCUUUAACAUCAAACCCAUCUUUUAUUUUAGAAAGAGGUAUUAAACACUUUCAGUAGAAAUUAAUGGAGUUUGUUGGGUGCAUUUUGUUUGAUCUUAUUUUAGAAAGAGGUACUCUACUUAGUUCCUUCUUUCAAGCCAUUCAUUUUCUUCUACUCUGAAAUUAGUUAUAAACCUUGAAUAGUUGGUUUGGUUCAAUCUUUCUUGAUUUAUGCUUCAUCGUUGUGAUUUUACAGUUUGAUGUUUUGUGCCAAUACAUGAUACUUGCCAUUGACACGAGACCCGGUAACAUAUUAACGAUGCGGAUUUUUAUUACAUAAUAUAUUUUAUAGUUAACGCGAACCGAGAUCGAACCGAUACUUUAGUGACUUGUAACGUUUGGCAUUUUGAUGAAAAUUUUAUAUAUAUUGUUUUGUUUUGUAUUGUUGAGAAGAUAUUGUUUGUGUUUUGAAAAUAUAUCAGCACUUUAGUUGUCGGGAUCGUUCAAAAACAGGGGAAACUCUGUCCGUUUUCCGUUAAAUGGGGGCGUAAAAAAAUGGGGAAACGUGACGUAAGUUUUUUUUUUGUUUUUUGUAAAAGGUUUAAACCCGUAAAAAAGUAGUUUUUAGU